This is a long non-coding RNA of Vespa crabro (European hornet), 911 nucleotides long. RefSeq lists it as uncharacterized. The record is from RefSeq and is a predicted model, not a curated record. The transcript has 3 exons. Lineage: Eukaryota; Metazoa; Arthropoda; Insecta; Hymenoptera; Vespidae.
AUCCGGUGUUUAUCUCUAUUUGUUACGCCAUAUGAACGUGGAAAAUUAUAUUUUUCUGUAACAAAGAAUACGAAGAGAAAACAUAAGAAUGGCAGAUAACUUCACAACGUCUCUUUUUAAAUUUUGUUCAUAUCGAAGAAUGAAGAUAAUGCGGAAUCUCCUAUCAAUUCUUAUUCUGUUCGACCUAUUAACCGGUGCCGGUUGUAAAACUAGUUUCCAAAAAAAGGAAGAAUCUAAAAUGGAUACGCACGGCUAUUCUCCAAGUAAACUUAGAAAGCUAUUUUGAAGCGACAUCCAUUGGUACGUUAGAGCUGACUAUUGGCUUUUUCUACUAGAAAUUCGAAGAUCCCUAUGAAUUAACCAAUUUUUCCGCAACAAAGAAACAGGAAUUUAAAUUUGACAAUUCUAAAACAUUGAUUGUUAAGAAAUUAAUAGCGAUAAAUUCCAAGGGAGAAAAUUUGCUAUUAGACAAUAUACUGAAAAUACAAAUGCGUUUGAAUGAAAAAUAAUGUAAAUAAAACAUUACACAAUGAACUGUAUUUAGCGAUUAAUAAACAAAAUACUAAAUCAAAGUAUUUUCUAAGGUGAAAACACAAAAUAUCAUUAACAAAAUAAGAUAUUAUAACAAUAAAUCAAUAGUAAAGCUAAUUGAAAGUGAAACGAAUAAGUUUCGAAUGAACAGGAUAUUAAAUGUUUUGAUUUCAAAGAAAAAAUUAAUGUAGAGUUCAGGAAAAACAUCUUGUAUUCAUACGUUGACCUACUUCCAUAUGAUCGCUUUCUCCAUCACGAUUGAAAAGAAUUGGACGAAAGAGACGUGCGUGAUGAGGAACCACUUCGUUUAUGAUAGGUUCCUGCUAGAUUCGUGUUUAUGUACGUGUAAAAGAGAGAAUUAAAAGGAAGUCCAAAAGGAA